GGAGAAUCUGCUCUGUACAAUUCCAUCCGAUGAAACAUUGUACAGAGC
Molecule: non-coding RNA, 48 nt
Submitted as: unclassified sequences
Source: Rfam